Molecule: ribosomal RNA, 401 nt
Filed under: uncultured organism
Description: bacterial SSU rRNA
Rfam family: Bacterial small subunit ribosomal RNA
Source: RNAcentral
UGGAUUAGGCAUGCAAGUCGAACGGGACUUUAGCUUUUUCGAAGUCUAGUGGCGAAAGGGUGAGUAACACGUGGGUUACCUGCCCUCGGGAUCGGGAUAACUUGUCGAAAGACGGGCUAAUACCGGAUACGUCCCACCACUGAAUCAAUGGUGGGGGAAAGAUGGGGAUUCGCAAGAACCUAUCACCCCUGGAUGGGCCCGCGGCCUAUCAGCUAGUUGGUGAGGUAACGGCUCACCAAGGCUAAGACGGGUAGCUGGUUUGAGAGGAUGGUCAGCCACACUGGGAAUGAGACACUGCCCAGACUCCUACGGGAGGCUGCAGUCGAGAAUCUUUCGCAAUGGGGGAAACCCUGACGAAGGGACGCCGCGUGCAGGAUGAAGGCCUUCGGGUUGUAAACUGC